CUCUACUGGUUUUAUUUUUCUGACGGUUUUUAAGAAAUUUAUUAUUUGGGUCGAUCGACGAUGAAGCGAAACUGCGAGUUAGAGCUUGGCCUUCAACGUCGCAAUUCGAUUUUGUGUGUGUUCGCAAUUUUUUGCAACAAUGCCACAGUAACGAGCCUUUCGACAUAACACACCACCAUCCCCAGAUUCUUCACAAUGGACGCCGAUGCUUCAUCGAUGUUACAGAAAUUCAGGCAAGGGUGAUAAUAUGGUUGGCAAAUAGAGAAAUGGAGGAGAGAGUGGGAAGGAGAGGAUCAUCAUCAUCAACUUCAUCAUCAUCAUCAUCAUCAUCAACAACAACAACAUCAUCAUCAUUAUCAUCUUCAUUUUGGGUGCAAUCUCAAGCUUUGAUGUAUGGAAGUGGUGGUCAUGGUCAUGGAGGCCUCUCUCUGAAGAAAUCUCUUCAGAGCUUUCUGCAGAAGAGAAAGAAAAGGACACAACAAGAGACAAAGUCACAAUGUGAUCACUGUGAAUAAAAAAAAAAAAAACUAAAACUAAAACAAUAUUCCUCUUUCACACAACCACACAAAUAUUCACCAUUUUUAGUUAAAGAUUUGCAUCAUAGAUCAUUCCUGGCCCCAUGCAUGUUCAUCCCCAUCCGGUGAAAUUCUUCAUGUGCUGCUACCUAUUAUUGCUUUUA
Molecule: RNA transcript, 679 nt
Organism: Prosopis cineraria
Lineage: Eukaryota; Viridiplantae; Streptophyta; Magnoliopsida; Fabales; Fabaceae
Gene name: protein TIFY 5A-like
Exons: 3
Source: RefSeq, a predicted model, not a curated record